UAGCAAUUAGCGAACGACAUAAAGAGGAAGAUGUAAAGUGAACCUGGAUGAGAAUAAGGAGCCGUGGCGAGGGGAGACUCGAGAGGCCGGGGAUGGAGUGGCGGGUGCGAGUCCACUGAGCUUCGAUGGUCCCGUGGCAACGGAAGGCGAUGAUUGGAUGCGAUUCAAGAAGGUUUUUGCGGAAGAAACGGAACGUUGAACGAAUUUUCUAGCACAACUGGACGCCAUUUUUGGCCUUUUUGUUCAAAUUUUGGUUCUCGUUAAACCCUAGGGUAUUAAACUGUGAGAAUCAGAGAGCCGAUCGGCAACGGCAAUUCAACAGACCGGUCGAUCACUAAUGGGCCUGUCCACACCAUAGGAAAAGGGCAAUUGACAAAACUAUUAACCAAAAUAUAUUGAAAAAAUCAUAAAUGCAUGCUUAAUAUAUAUCAUUUCAUUUUAUGCUAUUGAAUUGUUU
RNAcentral lists this long non-coding RNA (457 nucleotides) under Olea europaea (common olive). Its description in RNAcentral is "long non-coding RNA (OEUR_LNC013757)". The record is from RNAcentral. Lineage: Eukaryota; Viridiplantae; Streptophyta; Magnoliopsida; Lamiales; Oleaceae.